RNAcentral lists this ribosomal RNA (263 nucleotides) under uncultured Oscillospiraceae bacterium. RNAcentral's name for it is "partial 16S ribosomal RNA". It matches the Rfam family "Bacterial small subunit ribosomal RNA", at positions 77 to 339 of the family's 1533-position model. The record is from RNAcentral. Lineage: Bacteria; Bacillati; Bacillota; Clostridia; Eubacteriales; Oscillospiraceae.
AAUUGAUAAGGUUACUUAGUGGCGGACGGGUGAGUAACGCGUGAGGAACCUGCCUUGGAGUGGGGAAUAACACAGUGAAAAUUGUGCUAAUACCGCAUAAUGCAGUUGGGUCGCAUGACUCUGACUGCCAAAGAUUUAUCGCUCUGAGAUGGCCUCGCGUCUGAUUAGCUAGUUGGUGGGGUAACGGCCCACCAAGGCGACGAUCAGUAGCCGGACUGAGAGGUUGGCCGGCCACAUUGGGACUGAGACACGGCCCAGACUCC